AGCUGACAGUAAUUUUUGCUUCUUUAAGAAAAUAUAUAUGCAAACUGCAGCCCGUCACCAUGGUUACUGCUGAAUGCUACCGAGAAUAGCUCAUUUCACAUUCGCAGACCCAUAGGGUUCGGGAGCCGCAAUUAUUUUGGCCUUUCACCAUUUCCCCUCGAGCUAGGCCACCGUCCCGCCGUUGCACAGAGCAUGUUGUAAUUAGCCCCGCGCCGCCGGGCCCGGCGCGGAGGAGGCGGUGGCUGCGCCGUCGCAGCGCUGGAGCCGUGCUCAGACGAAAGCCACGCAGGAGGCGAGGCAGGUCGGCACCGGGCUGCCCCCGACGGCCGCGCCGCUGCUGGGCCCCGCUGCUCGAGCGGCCGCCGCCGCCGCUUUUUGCCUUGCUUGCUGCCCGCCGCACCGCCACGACCGCCGCUAGCCCCGGCGCCCCCGGCCCCCCCGCCGCUCCCCCCCCCCCGCNNNNNNNNNNGCGUGGUGCUACUAGCCCAGCUGGCUGCCGGUUAGGAAAUAAAACCCGCGUCUUUCUUAGAAAUCUGCGCGGCGCUUCAGGGCUCGGAGCAGCGCCUGCAGCCGGAGCUGUCUGCCCGGCAGGACGGGCUGGGACCAAGGCAGUUGCCUCGCCUUGCAGAGGGGAUGCCGGGCUCGCUCGUGCUGCUCCGUGGGGAAGUGCUGGCGAUGGGAGGGAUCCUGCUCCAGGGCUGCUGAGGGAAGCGGGCGCUGCGUGAGGAAGGGGGUGGCUGUCAGGGGAGUGGAGCCGUUUGCCUUGGUGUGAUUGCAGCGAGGUGGAGGGGAGCACUUCCAGGCUGACCCUGCGUACCCAUAAGGCGGCUGUGGCAAUGGGGUGAGGGCUGGCAGGAGGCCCCGGUGCUCACCUUCCCGGAGGAAAUUUUAGAGGUUUCCUGGAGGAAAUGUUUAAGGUUAAACAGGGAGGUUUCUGCAUCGCAGGAGCCUGGCAGGUUUUCGGCCACUUGUAGUAACGGUGCCUGGGGUGGGGAGCUGAAGCACCCUCACCUUGCACAGCUGCCUGUGCGGCCCUACAACACCCCUUAGCGCCCUCCCCUCCAUCAGUGGGGUGGCUGCCAGGCAGGUUGGGGGCCUUGGGCUUUGCUGGGAGCUCCGUGCACAGCGGGAGCCUGCAGAGCCGAGGCGAAGGGGAGUGUGGUGGCCGAGGGCUGCGUGCCUGCGUCUGCUGAGCUGGGUGUGCUGAGCAGGGGGGUGAGGGGCUUUAGGGCAGCUGCAGCAUGCGGCGUGCUGGCUGCAGUGGUGCUUCCACCGGCAGGAAAGUGGGUAGGAAGGUGCUUCCAUCUCCGGCUGGAAAAAGGGCAAAGCAAAGGAGGGGAAUUAAAGGGAGGUGAGGGAGACAAACAGAGGAAAGGCAGAGCUCAGAGGGAAACAGUGCUGCUGCACAGCCUGACAGGCACUGGGGGAGAAGCGGCUGGGCACGGUGAGCAGGCAGGUGGGGAGGGAAAGGGAGAGUAAAGUGAGAUGGAGAGGGGGAUAUUCAGGGAGCUCGAGACCGAGAAGGGGAUAUUCAGGGAGCUCGCUGGGCCCAGCAGCACGGAAGGGCUCUCACACAGCCCGAGGACACGUGUUUGGUCUCAGCUCCUGGCAGCUCUUCGCAAGACCGUGUUUGUGGCUGGGGACGAGCAGGGUUCUGCUGGGGCUUCACCUGUGUGAGCAGGGAGCAAACACAUGGACGGAUUUUUAGUACUGGUGUGGAGGAGAUGCGGCUGCUGGGCGCCUGCCGUGUGGCUUCGCUAAGGCACCAAGAGUCCAAAGCGAGGCAGGGACUGGCUCCAGUAUCGCAGGCCGGUCCUGAAGAUUCUCAUAACGCCUCUCACAGUUACCACAUGCUUAUCCCUGAUGUGCUUCUGAUGGUUUCAGGUGUGUGCUGCCCCAGUGAGGAGGCAAUGAGGAAAGGAGUGCAGCGUGUGCUGAGGCUGUAAGGCUCGGAGCUGUGUUGUACCUGGCACUGCACAGCCAGACGUGAGGAGCGGGCUGUGCGCUGUCCCUGUACCCACACAGCGUCCCUACAGGGGCAUAGUACACACCCUGUGUUUUGUAGGUGCCUGUGGAAGCAGUGCAGGAUGGCGCUGGCUGCCACUGACAUGAAGGGCUCCCAAAAUGUGGGCAGGGCGAUGCCAAACUGUUUGGAGGUGCGUUGGUGUGCGCACUGCUGUCCGAGGGGAAACAUCCCUGCAAGUACUUUAUUGUUGACUUUGUGUGUUCCUCUCCCUUAUUAAGUGCAGCGGUUUGAAAAAUGGCUGAGCUUGCCAUUAAUCUAAUUUAUUCCACGUGACAAUUUUUAAAAAUUAAUCUCUGUGGUGUAAUUAUGCUGUCAGGACGACUUGCUCAAUUUUCUGCUUUAUCCACCACAGAUUCCAGUAACUUCCUAGAACCGAGAUGCUCCUUUCCCGGCGGUUUUUCCUGCCCGCGUGUGGAUGUGUUGCAGUGAAGCCGUUGUUUGUGGUGCCUUCCCCCGGGUUGCUGUGUGUGCAGGUGUUGCCUGCUGAGCCUGGCCUCGCUGCGCAUCCCAGCAGCUGCACCCUGCUGCCCGCGGCCGCUCAGGUCUUGUCAGCCCGCUGGGUGUCUGUCGUGCCUCUGGGUCUGUGUAAAAAGGAGCCUUCAGGGGCAUUCCAGCGGCUGGAAAGGCCGUCUGUGAAUUGAGAAAGUCUGCUUUGUGCUUAUACAAAUUGAGAAACCAUCGGUUGCUAAAAAUACCCCGCGUUUAAUCUGUGAGCCUUGCUCGGCGCUGCCGGGCGUCCCCGCGCUCCGGGCACAGCUGAAGGGCAGGUGUCCAGCGCCGUGCUGCUGCUGCUGGCCCAGGCGUUGCUCCAUUUAAAUGACCCUUAAUUAAAUGUUACCAGGUGACUACCGAAGGUUUGUUUGGAUUAUCUGAGGAAUUACUGCGCUCACCUUGCCUGUAACAUCGCUGGAAAAUGUUCUUGGCCCCCAGGAGCUGGGAAGUGCCGGGCAGAACGGGGCAGGCAGCAGCGCAGGGCCCGGGGCAGGGCCAGGAGGUGUCUGGGGCCUGCUGCAGGGCCGGGGCUGCUGACAGCGCCCAGGGGCAGGGUAGGGGCAGGCAGG
This 3087-nucleotide long non-coding RNA is filed under the name Anas zonorhyncha (Eastern spot-billed duck). Its description in RNAcentral is "lncRNA (ENSAZOG00000018252.1)". Lineage: Eukaryota; Metazoa; Chordata; Aves; Anseriformes; Anatidae. The record is from RNAcentral.